Molecule: transfer RNA, 72 nt
Filed under: Saccoglossus kowalevskii
Lineage: Eukaryota; Metazoa; Hemichordata; Enteropneusta; Harrimaniidae
Description: tRNA-Glu
Rfam family: tRNA
About the family: Transfer RNA (tRNA) molecules are approximately 80 nucleotides in length. Their secondary structure includes four short double-helical elements and three loops (D, anti-codon, and T loops).
Source: RNAcentral
UCCCAUAUGGUCUAGUGGUUAGGAUUUUGCGCUUUCAUCGCCAAGGCUCGGCUUCAAUUCCCGGUGUAGGAA